CAAUAGCGUAUAUUUAAGUUGUUGCAGUUAAAAAGCUCGUAGUUGGAUUUCGGAUGGGACUUGCCGGUCCGUCGUUUCGAUGUGCACUGGCCAGUCCUAUCUUGUUGUCGGGGACUAGCUCCUGGGCUUCACUGUCCGGGACUAGGAGCUGACGAGGUUACUUUGAGUAAAUUAGAGUGUUCAAAGCAAGCCUACGCUCUGAAUACAUUAGCAUGGAAUAACGCGAUAGGACUCUGGCUUAUCUUGUUGGUCUGUGAGACCAGAGUAAUGAUUAAGAGGGACAGUCGGGGGCAUUCGUAUUUCAUUGUCAGAGGUGAAAUUCUUGGAUUUAUGAAAGACGAACUUCUGCGAAAGCAUUUGUCAAGGAUGUUUUCAUUA
RNAcentral lists this ribosomal RNA (378 nucleotides) under uncultured eukaryote. Its description in RNAcentral is "partial 18S ribosomal RNA". It matches the Rfam family "Eukaryotic small subunit ribosomal RNA", at positions 592 to 975 of the family's 1831-position model. The record is from RNAcentral.